UACGUAGGCAGCGAGCGUUGUUCGGAGUUACUGGGCGUAAAGAGUGCGUAGGCGGUGCGGCAAGUCUGGUGUGAAAUCUCCCGGCUUAACUGGGAGGGUGCGCUAGAAACUGCCGUGCUAGAGUGUGGGAGAGGUAAGCGGAAUUCCUGGUGUAGCGGUGAAAUUCGUAGAUAUCGAGAGGAACAUCGGUGGCGAAGGCGGCCUUCUGGACAGUGACUGACGCUGAGACGCGAAAGCGUGGGGAGCAAACAGG
Molecule: ribosomal RNA, 253 nt
Filed under: uncultured bacterium
Lineage: Bacteria
Description: partial 16S ribosomal RNA
Rfam family: Bacterial small subunit ribosomal RNA
Source: RNAcentral